GAACCGAGCAGACCAGCGGAGCCGAAGAAGUCGCACGCCUCCGCCGUUCACCGUCGCCGCCGCGCACCGCAGCCGAAGUCGCCGUCGCCACUCGUCGCAGCUCCGCCCGUCUCUGCCUCUUGCCGCCAUCGUCCCUGCUUCAGCCAAGUUCCAGCAGCCAUUUCAGAUCUGGUGGAGCUCCGCCGGAGCCGUCCAGCCCACCUCCGGCCACCGUGAGGCCCCGCCGUUGGCCGUGCAGCACCGCCGCAGCUCCUCCGCCCGUUUCCGACCUAAGCCGGCGCUGGAUCUGCUCCCUCUCGGCCCCAAGCAGAAUCUGGAAAAAUGGGUAUGGCAGCGGGUGUUUGGCCCGUUUUGGCCGCCUUCCCGAGCCCGGAUGCUCGGCCCGCUUUGAGGAAAGUCGAUCCUCGCGUCGCCCUCGUCGUUUUGGUCCGCUCGGCUCGUUAAUCUGGUGAGUUUAGCUCACUAAACCUCGCUUAGAGGGUUAAUUAUGCUUAGGGAGGUUUAGUUUAUGUUAAGCAUUAUUAGGUUGUUAGUUUAGGUUAAUUAAGAGUAGAUUUGAUUGAGGUUGUGGUUUAAUUUAAAGUGUGCUUAAUUAAGGGUAAGUAGGUUUAUUUAAAAUAAGCCUUGAUUUGACAUAAAUGAAUUUACUUUUGAUUUAUUUAAAUGUCUCGAAAUUAUUAUAUAAUUUAAUAAUAUAUUUUAUUCGAAAUUAAUAAAAUAUUAUUAUUUAAUUAUUUUCGGAAUAAAUUAAAUUAUUUGUUAAAUUCCGAAAAUUUUGUCGAGACCUUAAAUUCUCAGAAUUUCGUGCCGGUCGUUGCUGUGUAGUCGGAUUUUGAAAUUGAUGAUUGGAUAUUAUAAAUUGAGUGUGGAUUUCGAAAACUAUGGAUAUUAUUAUUUAAUUAAUUUUCGGAAUAAAUUUAAUUAUCUAUUAAAUUCCGAGAAUUUUCAUUGGGACCUUAUUUGCUCAGAAUUUCGUGCCGAUCGUUGUUAUGCUUGUAGAAUUUGAAAUUGAUGAUUGGUUGUGGCGAAUUGAAUGUGAUUUCGAUUUAUGAGGAUUCUUUAUAAAAUCCUAAGUGUAGAAAUUUAUGGGAGAUUGGCCGUGAUUGACCACCUAUUAGAGGUCGUGCCCGAUGAGGCCGUGAAAUACCACCUAUUAGAGGUCGUGCCCAGUGUGGCCGUGAUAAACCACCUAUGAGAGGUCGUGCCCAGUGAAGCCGUGAUAAACCACCUAUUAGAGGUCGUGCCCAGUGAGGCCGUGAUGAACCACCUAUGAGAGGUCGUGCCCAGUGAGGCCGUGAUGAACCACCUAUUAGAGGUCGUGCCCAGUGAGGCCGUGAUAUGCCACCUAUUAGAGGUCGCGCCCAGUGGGGCCGUGAUAUGCCACCUGAUAGAGGUCGCGCCCAGUGGGGCCGUGAUAUGCCACCUAUUAGAGGUCGCGCCCAGUGGGGCCGUGAAUUGCCACCUGAUAAAGGUCGCGCCGAGUGGGGCCGUGAUGCCACUUAUUCUAAUUUUGCCGAAUAGGGUCGUGAUUGAGAGCAAUGAUUGAUUUGCUAGAAUGACAUGUAAUCGGCCGAGUCGAUUGAUCACUGAGACGAUCCAAGUGGUUGAAUUGUUUGAUAAUGUGAUUGUGCCAUGGUUGUUUGGUUAUCAUAAUUGUACGUGGUUGAUUUAUAUAAAUUGUGCUAACCUGCAGAUGAAGGCUGAGGCGAGGUAAGUCCUCUGUGUGAUGUGGCUAGGCCACUCGGGGCGUAUUUUCUUUCUAAUAGGGGUUUAGGGGGUUGAACUUGCUGAGACAUCGUCUCAUCCCGGUUGUGGGAUUAAAAUUUCAGGUCCCCGAUGGAUGGAGUGGCCAGAUAGCUUUGGUUGGCCUUGAGGAGUUGCAGAGGUGAAGUCAUAAGGGUUGGAGAGCGUGUCCUGCUAGUUGGUUGUAGGAUAGUUCCCCUUUUGUCGAGCUGGUCUAUUUUGUAGAAAGUCCAGUGUUGUAUUUAAACCCUUUGUGUUUGUAAAUGAG
Molecule: long non-coding RNA, 2011 nt
Filed under: Eucalyptus grandis
Lineage: Eukaryota; Viridiplantae; Streptophyta; Magnoliopsida; Myrtales; Myrtaceae
Description: long non-coding RNA (EGRA_LNC003305)
Source: RNAcentral